CACGUAGGGCGCAAGCGUUGUCCGGAAUUAUUGGGCGUAAAGAGCUCGUAGGCGGUCUGUUGCGUCCGCUGUGAAAACUCGGGGCUUAACCCCGAGCCUGCAGUGGAUACGGGCAGACUAGAGGUAGGUAGGGGAGAAUGGAAUUCCCGGUGUAGCGGUGAAAUGCGCAGAUAUCGGGAGGAACACCGGUGGCGAAGGCGGGUCUCUGGGCCGGUACUGACGCUGAGACGCGAAAGCGUGGGGAGCGAACAGG
This 253-nucleotide ribosomal RNA is filed under the name uncultured bacterium. RNAcentral describes it as "partial 16S ribosomal RNA". It matches the Rfam family "Bacterial small subunit ribosomal RNA", at positions 524 to 776 of the family's 1533-position model. The record is from RNAcentral.